ACGGAAGGCAGCAGUGGGGGGUAUUGCACAAUGGGGGAAACCCUGAUGCAGCGACGCCGCGUGAGCGAAGAAGUAUUUCGGUAUGUAAAGCUCUAUCAGCAGGGAAGAAAAUGACGGUACCUGACUAAGAAGCUCCGGCUAAAUACGUGCCAGCAGCCGCGGUAAUACGUAUGGAGCAAGCGUUAUCCGGAUUUACUGGGUGUAAAGGGAGCGUAGACGGUUUGCCAAGUCUGAUGUGAAAGGUGGGGGCUCAACCCCCAAACUGCAUUGGAAACUGGUAGACUAGAGUGUCGGAGAGGUAAGUGGAAUUCCUAGUGUAGCGGUGAAAUGCGUAGAUAUUAGGAGGAACACCAGUGGCGAAGGCGGCUCACUAGACGAUAACUGACGUUGAGGCUCGAAAGCGUGGGGAGCAAACAGGAUUAGAUACCCUGGUA
This 434-nucleotide ribosomal RNA is filed under the name uncultured Lachnospiraceae bacterium. Its description in RNAcentral is "partial 16S ribosomal RNA". It matches the Rfam family "Bacterial small subunit ribosomal RNA", at positions 341 to 792 of the family's 1533-position model. The record is from RNAcentral. Lineage: Bacteria; Bacillati; Bacillota; Clostridia; Lachnospirales; Lachnospiraceae.